UUCCAGACUCCUACGGGAGGCAGCAGUGGGGAAUAUUGCACAAUGGGGGAAACCCUGAUGCAGCGACGCCGCGUGAGUGAAGAAGUAUUUCGGUAUGUAAAGCCCUAUCAGCAGGGAAGAAAUAGCGACCUUUGGGUCGCCAGACGGUACCUGACUAAGAAGCCCCGGCUAACUACGUGCCAGCAGCCGCGGUAAUACGUAGGGGGCAAGCGUUAUCCGGAUUUACUGGGUGUAAAGGGAGCGUAGACGGCAGCACAAGUCUGAAGUGAAAUGCCGGGGCUUAACCCCGGAACUGCUUUGGAAACUGUGCAGCUAGAGUGCAGGAGAGGUAAGUGGAAUUCCUAGUGUAGCGGUGAAAUGCGUAGAUAUUAGGAGGAACACCAGUGGCGAAGGCGACUUUCUGGACUGUACCUGACGCUGAGGCGCGAAAGCGUGGGUAGCGAACGGGAUUAGAUACCCGUGUAC
Molecule: ribosomal RNA, 465 nt
Filed under: uncultured bacterium
Lineage: Bacteria
Description: bacterial SSU rRNA
Rfam family: Bacterial small subunit ribosomal RNA
Source: RNAcentral